CAUCCACUUUCUGUUAUUAAUUUCCAGGAGCAGAAAAUGUUCAAGCCGCUCAAAAAUAUAUAUCAGGCUUGGAUGCAAGACGAUUAUCAAAGCUUCCUGAACACAGUGAUGACAGUGAAGAUGGUGAAGAUGACUUGGUGACUGGCUGAUAAACUGGUUGUGAGCUAAUAUAUUUCAGUUCUUUUUAUAAUAUCCCUUCAAUAUUGGGAUCUUUAAGAGACUCAAAGUUCAACCAAAAUUUCCGUUCCUUGUCAGUGUCAGAAGAAAGUACUACACAUCUACACACACACACACACACACACACACGCACCUUAUCCUCAAUUGGUUCCUUUCUGUGUUGUAUUUAGUCAAAAUUUAUUGCUGAGAAUUAUUUUGACCUUGUGGGAACUUUGAGGGAGCUCCCAUUUUUGUACAAAUUUUGUAGAAUGAUGAAAUUUUUUACUGCUAAUAAAAAUUGUAAUGUUUUGGAUA
Olea europaea var. sylvestris is the source of this 471-nucleotide long non-coding RNA. RefSeq lists it as uncharacterized. The record is from RefSeq and is a predicted model, not a curated record. The transcript has 2 exons. Lineage: Eukaryota; Viridiplantae; Streptophyta; Magnoliopsida; Lamiales; Oleaceae.